Molecule: long non-coding RNA, 347 nt
Organism: Ahaetulla prasina
Lineage: Eukaryota; Metazoa; Chordata; Lepidosauria; Squamata; Colubridae
Exons: 3
Source: RefSeq, a predicted model, not a curated record
AUCUAGCUUUAUGGCUAAUGAAAAGUUGCUGAGUUCUUGAAACAGAGAAGAAAACCACACGUAUACAGGCCACAAGGAACUUGGCAGAAAAGGGCAUCUUUCGUACACAUUUCCAGAGUGCACUGAUUCCUAAAAGUAAACGGGGUUGUAAGCAGAGUUUGCCACUGUGGAAGCAGUCUGUCCCUCUGUGAGCCCUCAUCAAGAAAUGUAUCUGAAUAGCAAAACAAACCUGACUACACCAAAAUUAUCAAAAGUUCUGUGGAAGAAGACAGUCCUUUCACUUUCCUGCUUUCCCGCUAACUUUCCUGCUGUUUCCUCGCUUUGCAAAGAUGCUGGUUACAUACGUG